GGAAAAAGGCCAGGAAAUAAAUAACACGAUUGAGAAGAAAAAAAAAAAUUCAAAAUGGCCGGACCAAAUGUGGAGGCGGGCCGUAUUUGGGCCGCGGGCCGCAGUUUGGGCACCCGAAGAAAUGCCGCAUCCAAGCGAGUGAGCGUGCGAAGUGAGAGAGGGAAACACUUCUACGAGCCUACGUUCUUUGUUAAUGUUAAUAUCUACAGAGGCAACGCCUAGGUCACCAGCACAGGCCACCGGGUCACCAUAUGGGUCGCCUGCAGGCCUGCUCCGAAAAUAUCCAACCAGCGAGGGAACAUAUACCACAGAAGAGUACGAAGGAGAGACAAUCCUUGAUGUUUACAAAGCGUUGUCCCAUCUCUGAACAUCUUAAAUCGGUGAUAAGUUUCCCACCAGACACUGAAUAAAGCAGUGAUUAGGAAAAGAGCUGAGGAGGAACAGGGACCCUUUGAUGAACUGACUCUCUAAAACGACACUCUUAUAGCAGUAAAUCGAUGUCAGGUGACCACAGAUGGAAUCAUUUCAAAAGAAAUAUUAUCUUGCUUACUUGACUUGUGUUAUCAUCUCAUUCUAGAUGAUGCAGCAAGGAGAUUUGUAAGACCGUGGAUGCACUAUAAACAACAGCAUGCACAGCAGGUCCCAGCGUUAACAACACAUUAUUUUCAAUGCCAAGGCAACAUUUCCAGAACUCGUUAACUCCACAUCACAAUACAUUUAUCCGGGUAGUCACACUUUUUUCAAACAUGUGAGUGUGGUUCUUAGUAUAGGAGUCUACUAUUUUAUAUAUUAAUUUUACGUAUUUUCUAUUAGAUUUAUUCAAAACAGUUUGUUGUCGUAAACUGCAUACACAUACACAAUAGUUAUAUUCUUUUCCUAACGGUAUAUUUUACAGGGUUUACCCGGGACUGCUCGCAAGCCAAAUGCAGCAUAACACUUAUUGACACUUCAGCGCAAUGGUUUCAAAUUGGUGGUGCAGGGGCAAGAUUUGGUCCUCUGCAUCAUUUUAGGUAGAUAGUGAAAAUAAAUCAUGUGCAUUGACGUUUUUCACUAAAAAUUUAUGUAAAAUAUCCGUAGUCCAUA
This is a long non-coding RNA of Corythoichthys intestinalis (scribbled pipefish), 1083 nucleotides long. RefSeq lists it as uncharacterized. NCBI's taxonomy places the organism in Eukaryota, Metazoa, Chordata, Actinopteri, Syngnathiformes, Syngnathidae. The record is from RefSeq and is a predicted model, not a curated record. The transcript has 3 exons.